This 730-nucleotide ribosomal RNA is filed under the name uncultured bacterium. RNAcentral describes it as "bacterial SSU rRNA". It matches the Rfam family "Bacterial small subunit ribosomal RNA", at positions 771 to 1501 of the family's 1533-position model. The record is from RNAcentral.
AACAGGAUUAGAUACCCUGGUAGUCCACGCCGUAAACGAUGUCGACUUGGAGGUUGUGCCCUUGAGGCGUGGCUUCCGGAGCUAACGCGUUAAGUCGACCGCCUGGGGAGUACGGCCGCAAGGUUAAAACUCAAAUGAAUUGACGGGGGCCCGCACAAGCGGUGGAGCAUGUGGUUUAAUUCGAUGCAACGCGAAGAACCUUACCUACUCUUGACAUCCAGAGAACUUAGCAGAGAUGCUUUGGUGCCUUCGGGAACUCUGAGACAGGUGCUGCAUGGCUGUCGUCAGCUCGUGUUGUGAAAUGUUGGGUUAAGUCCCGCAACGAGCGCAACCCUUAUCCUUUGUUGCCAGCGGUUCGGCCGGGAACUCAAAGGAGACUGCCAGUGAUAAACUGGAGGAAGGUGGGGAUGACGUCAAGUCAUCAUGGCCCUUACGAGUAGGGCUACACACGUGCUACAAUGGCAUAUACAAAGAGAAGCGACCUCGCGAGAGCAAGCGGACCUCAUAAAGUAUGUCGUAGUCCGGAUUGGAGUCUGCAACUCGACUCCAUGAAGUCGGGAUCGCUAGUAAUCGUGGAUCAGAAUGCCACGGUGAAUACGUUCCCGGGCCUUGUACACACCGCCCGUCACGCCAUGGGAGUGGGUUGCAAAAGAAGUAGGUAGCUUAACCUUCGGGAGGGCGCUUACCACUUUGUGAUUCAUGACUGGGGUGAAGUCGUAACAAGGUAACC